RNAcentral lists this long non-coding RNA (814 nucleotides) under Mytilus galloprovincialis (Mediterranean mussel). Lineage: Eukaryota; Metazoa; Mollusca; Bivalvia; Mytilida; Mytilidae. The record is from RNAcentral.
AAAUAAGUCAACGUGACCAAAAUGGUCAGUUGACCCCUUUAGGAGUUAUUGCCCUUUAUGGUCAAUUUUCAACCAUUUUUCGUAAAUCUUAGUAAUCUUUUACAAAAAUCUUCUCCUCUAAAACUACUGUACAAAAUUAAUCCAAACUUGGCCACAAUCAUCUUUGGGGUAUCUAGUUUAAAAAAUAUGUCCGGUGACCCAGCCAUCAAAUCAAGAUUGGCCGCAUGGCUAAAAAUAGAACAUAGGGGUAAAAUGCAGUUUUUGGCUUAUAACUCAAAAACCAAAGCAUUUAGAGCAAAUCUGACAUUGGUAAAAUUGUUAAUCAGGUGAAGAUUUAUCUGCCCUAAAAUUUUCAGUUGAAUCGACAACCUGUUGUUGGGUUGCUGCCCCUGAAUUGGUAAUUUUAAGAAAAUUUUGCUGUUUUUGGUUAUCAUCUUGAAUAUUAUUAUAGAUAGAGAUAAACUGUAAACAGCAAUAAUGUUCAGCAAAGUAAGAUUUACAAAUAAGUCAACAUGACCGAAAUGGUCAAUUGACCCCCUAAGAAGUUAUUGUUCUUUAUAGUCAAUUUUUAACAAUUUUCAUAAAAUUUGUAAAUUUUUACUUACAUUUUCCAUUGAAACUACUGGGCCAAGUUCAUUAUAGAUAGAGAUAAUUGUAAGCAGCAAGAAUGUUUAGUUAAGUAAGAUGUACAAACACAUCACCAUCACCAAAACACAAUUUUGUCAUGAAUCCAUCUGCUUCUUUGUUUAAUAUUCACAUAGACCAAGGUGAGCGACACAGGCUCUUUAGAGCCUCUAGUUUUUUUUAAAUAUUU